This 274-nucleotide ribosomal RNA is filed under the name uncultured bacterium. RNAcentral describes it as "partial 16S ribosomal RNA". It matches the Rfam family "Bacterial small subunit ribosomal RNA", at positions 523 to 796 of the family's 1533-position model. The record is from RNAcentral.
AUACGGAGGGUGCAAGCGUUAAUCGGAAUUACUGGGCGUAAAGCGCGCGUAGGCGGUUUGGUCAGUCGGAUUUGAAAGCCCUAUGCUCAACCUGGGAAUGGCAUUCGAUACUGACUGACUUGAGUAUGGUAGAGGGAAGUGGAAUUUCCGGUGUAGCGGUGAAAUGCGUAGAUAUCGGAAGGAACACCAGUGGCGAAGGCGACUUCCUGGGCCAAUACUGACGCUGAGGUGCGAAAGCGUGGGGAGCAAACAGGAUUAGAAACCCCAGUAGUCC